Molecule: ribosomal RNA, 3093 nt
Filed under: Triticum aestivum (bread wheat)
Lineage: Eukaryota; Viridiplantae; Streptophyta; Magnoliopsida; Poales; Poaceae
Description: partial small subunit ribosomal RNA
Source: RNAcentral
AUGGCGCGUGGUCUGGUUUCUGCUCAUGCUCAAGCCACGGCCGAGGCUGAUGUUGGGUUGCUAGGUGGACGUGGGCGUGGUCGUGGGCGGUCUGCUGGUCGUCGUGGACGAGCCACUGGCCGUGGAGGUUCUAAUAUAGGGCGUGCCCCUGUUUCUGAUCAUGUCGCUGCCGGUGGGGUUGCUGCUUGCCGGGUGCCUGCCGCUGGGGCUGAGCCUCUUGACAGGCGUAGGGGUGUGAGUCAGCGGGUGCCUACUGCUGGAGCUGAGCCUAUCGCCAGGCAUGGGCGUGCGCUCGACAGGUGCCUGCCACUGGGCGUGGCGCCCUACCUCGGCCAAGUGGUAGGGGUGUUCGUGGUCGUGUCCCUGGUCAUGGUGCUGAUUCUGGGCAUGCAGUCGCUGCUGUACAUGUGUCUGUCCCUGGUCGUGCUGCUAAUCCUGGGCACGACACCACUUCUAUGCAUGUGCCUGUCCCUGCUCGUGCUGCUAGUCCUGGAGAUUGUUUUCCAAGGGCCUUUGCCGAAGGACUGGCAAGGUUUCUCGGUCAAGUUUGCCGAGUCCCUUAAAGAUAGGUCGUACUACGGCCCUCCGGAUUUCUUGUGUCAGUACUAUGGUGCCUCCUUUUGGUUUGCUGAGUGCUCAAAGUCCAGGUCAUCCUGGACACAACGUAAGAUGGUUUAUAAUCGCUGUUGCAAAGGCGCUAAGGUAUAUAUCCCUCCCUUUAAGGAUCCCCCGGCCUAUCUCCGGGAGCUUCUUCGAUUCGAUGAUACUUCUCGUGCUAAAAAAUUCAUCCGGACUAUACAUGAGUACAACUAUAUGUUUGCUUUCACUUUGAUGGGUGCUACCAUUGAACGCUCGUUUGGUGGCAGCCGUGGACCUAAGAUUUUCAAGAUCAAUGGUCAAGUGUCUCAUCGUAUUGGUUCGUUGGUGCCUAGCGGUGAUGAUACCCCUAAAUUUGCUGAGUUGUAUAUACAUGACCCAGCUAAUGAGAUUAGACAUAGGAUGAAUGCCUUAAAUCCAGAUGAUAAGCCUACUGGGGGUGUGGAUGAGAGUAUUGUGGUUGGUCUUAGAGACAUGCUUAAUGAGUUCAACCCAUUGGUACAGACCUUUAGGGAGGCGAGUAAGAUGAUAGAGGAUCGUGGUGAUGAACCCAUUGAGGAUAUCUCGAUUCGUAUUAUUGGGCCUUCAGAGGGCGAUAGUCCACAAUUUAGUUUGCCUACAACCACUGGGCUUGCUGCUUUAGUUAUCGGUGGUGGCUUCACGUUAGAGGCAUCUUCUCGGGAUAUUGUUGUUUGCAGUCGUUCCGAUGGUUUGCAGCAGAUAUCUUCUCUGAACACCGCAUUCAUGCCUCUGCAGUACCCGUUGCUUUUCCCUUAUGGAGAGAGGGGGUUCCAGGUGGAUGUUCCUAACUUGAUUGUUCCUGAAGAAGAUGAUGACGAUGGACCUGGAGAUCCCAAUCCUGCACCUGGAAGUCCGACCGUUGAGGCGUCCUCUUCAUACCCUUCUGGAGGUGGUGAUGCUUCCACAAAUAGCAGGAAUAGGAUGACCAUGCAGGAUUACUAUCGUUUUAUGUGCCAUUACAAGGGUGAUCAGCCCAAUCCAUAUAUAUGUUAUGGUCUCCUCUCCUCUCAGUUGGUUGUCGAUGCACGUGAUGGGUGUGUUGAUGGUGAUGCUCUUGGGAAGAGGACCAUUGUACCUUCCAGUCACAUCGGCGGUCGUUGUUACUUCCAUGAAAAUUUUCAUGAUGGCCUUGCCGUUUCUCGGGUGCACGGUGCACCCGACAUAUUUACCACUUUCACUUGCAAUCCCAAGUGGCUUGAGAUCUCCAGUGCAUUGGAGCCGGGUCAGACGCCUUCUGAUAGGGUGGAUAUUGUUGUUAGGGUCUAUCACAUGAAGCUCAUCGAGUACUUGGACGAGAUUAAGUCAGGCCGGGCUUUUGGCCCCAUUACGGCUGUAGAUGAGGUUCAGGAGUAUCUGAUAUGUCGGUAUAUAUGUGAGUACGAUGCAUUGUGGCGCAUAUUUGGCUUUGAGAUACACUUUAAAAUGCCGUCGGUUCAAAGGCUGACCGUUCAUAUGCCUGGCAUGAAUACUGUUCACUAUCGUGCUGGUGCUGACCUCAUGAAAAUUACGGCGAUGGUUGAUCUGCAGGCUCUUGUUGUGGGGAACAAGAACUUGACCAUCCAUGUGUAUGUUUCGAGUGUGUGGCAGCAUCGUGGGUCCACUGAUAACGGUCCUAUCAAACACACUGACAUGGUCCUUUUGGAUGCCCAGGUAUAUGGCAUCUCUAGCCCCCGUGCCCUAUGUUGUUUGGCAAUCACAUCUAUGCUGAGAUUGGUGAGAAGCUUGUGCCUAUGUUCAAUUGAGACAACCACAUCCAUGUUGUUUCUUGGCAGGUCAACCACACCUAUGCUGAGAUUGGUUCCUGAGCUCCUUUAUAGGUCUCUUGCUGUGAAGCUUGUGAUUAGCAUGCAUUUCAAGCAUUCAAUUCUUGUGGGGGUGGAGCUGGAGAAGGUGGGGCGUCAGAGCAGAGCCAGUUAUAGCGUCCACGAUCUCCUCAGGCAUGGACAAUCCCGCCAGAUUGACCACGUUGUGGGCUUUGAUUUGGUCAGCAUGCUGAAUAAGUCCCGGGUUUAUCCGUGUGUGGCAGAUCCUGAGAGUUCUGUCAGGACAGGGUUUGAACUGUCCGUGCCUACUGUUGCCCCAACGACUGUGGGCAAGAAAGGUCUGGAAGAAGCAGAACCCUUUACUAGCUCCGGCUCGCAGGCACAUAUUGCCAAAUCAUUUGGUUGCUUCAGAGCUAUGGUGACUGUUAUCACAACAAUGUCACUGUCCAUCCAGACUGUCAGGCUACUUGGAGACAGAUUGCCUUUUAGUAAGGUGCACACCUUCCAAGUGUAUAUCCUGGACUUGGUGCCUGGAGGUGAAACGACUUUGCAAUCUGUUGACAUCUGCACGUUCGUGCUCUGUAGUCUAUCAUGGAAUGAAUGUAAUUAUCUCCAGGUCCUUUGCCGCCACCUGCUCAUGGCUGUCAUCGUCCCUUUGGUGCACCAUGAAAUUCCUUUCCUUCUGAUCCGUGUACUGGAUCCAAAGAAGUAG